This 305-nucleotide ribosomal RNA is filed under the name uncultured bacterium. RNAcentral's name for it is "bacterial SSU rRNA". It matches the Rfam family "Bacterial small subunit ribosomal RNA", at positions 338 to 660 of the family's 1533-position model. The record is from RNAcentral.
CCUACGGGGUGCAGCAGUGGGGGAUAUUGCACAAUGGGGGAAACCCUGAUGCAGCGACGCCGCGUGGGUGAAGAAGCGCCUCGGCGUGUAAAGCCCUGUCAGCAGGGAAGAAAAUGACGGUACCUGAAGAAGAAGCCCCGGCUAACUACGUGCCAGCAGCCGCGGUAAUACGUAGGGGGCAAGCGUUAUUCGGAUUUACUGGGUGUAAAGGGGGCGCAGACGGCGAUGCAAGCCAGGAGUGAAAGCCCGGGGCCCAACCCCGGGACUGCUCUUGGAACUGCGUGGCUAGAGUGCAGGAGGGGCAG